UCCCAAAAAGAGAAGAGUGAGAGAGAGAAUGGGUUUGAAGUGGUAGAGAGUGAUGAUAAUAAUGAUAAUUUUGCUAGCGUAAGUGGGAAACUCAAACCCCAUUUUCUCUGAGUGUACCAUUAAACUACUAUAUAUCUACCACUCUCUUCCACACACUUCACACACCAAAACCAAAAAGGCUGCUCCAUUUCAAUUUCCAUUUUCAUUGUUAGGAUAAGAUCUUUGCCCUUUUGCUGCUCCUACACACAAAAACAAAUUGCACUCCUCAUUUCAUUUCAACUCAUCACUUUUUCACCUAUUUAUUCAGUUUCUCACACCCCAUCAUGCAUAUAGAUCUGUCACACCCAUCUCCCAAGCUUGCUACUUGUCAUCUCUACGUUUUGCAUGACUCUCUCUGACUCAAUGUACAGAAAGUCAGACAUCGAAAGAGAGAGAGAGAGAAGGAGUUUUGUGUCUCCCAACAUGGUUUUGGUUCCAGUUUAUUUUAUGGUGUUCAUACCCUUUUUCUUUCUUCUUUUAUCUUCUCUCAGAACCAUUUCAUCUUCUUCCUUAUCUCUUGAUUCGUCUUCUGGGGUUUGUUUUUCUUCUUUGUGCCCUUAUUUGUCGGACCGAGGUUGUUGGUGACAAACCCUAAAUUCUCAGAAUUGUGUUCCUCUGAGAACAUGCAUGUCAGAUCCUAGAUUUUCCACCUUUUUAGCUCCAGAUUUCGUGAAGUUUUCCUUUAAUAUGGAUGUCACAUUUUUCCUCCUCAGAUCUGACUCAGUUGUGUGGCUUUUGUUUUUCCCUUCAGAUUUUUCCAAACCUUUUGUCUGUGAAACUUUCCAUAUUUGGGAUGCUAUUGUAUGUGUACUUAGUUUCUUUUAAUUCCUUCUAUUUGGACAGAAAUUGACAGAAGAGAGUGAGCACAAAGAGGCACAUGAUAUAACUCUAUAUCACUGCUUUUGUGUGCUCACUACUCUUUCUGUCGGUUUUCGGUGCCAGAAAAUUCUCCGACUCUCCUUGCUCCAUCAACCAAAACCAAACCACAUCAUCUUCACUCUCUCUCUCUCUCUCACUCGCUGAAACAGUUCAAUUACAUGGUUGUUUAUCUGUUUCACUAUUAUUCAACAGUGAGUAAAAGUUAUAUUAUGGCUUUGGUGUUUUGCUAAUAUGUAUGUUUGUAUUUUGUUUUAUUUUAUCUGCUACUAUAAUCAGUUGAAACAGGCUCAUACGUGUUCUUUGAUUGUCUUUAUUAUGGUUUAUAGUAUAUUAGUCCUUGCAAAACGGAUAAGUGUGACUUUUGAUAGCAUUACCUUGCACAAGGUGCCCUGGUUAUUGUGCAGACCUUGAGGGGCACCGUUUUCUAUCUUUUUAUGUGUAUUUGUAUGCUAGCGAGUGGGAGGGACCAUACAUGCUACAUAGUAUGGUCCACACUUGUUGUUGUUUUCACUUUCUAGCAUCUAGCUAGCUAUUAUCGUUUUUCUGAUUCCAUAGCCUUUCAUAUUUUAAGUAUAUAGAGUAUGCGGGCCAUCAACUUGUUCAUUGCUGUAAUGUUCUCACCUGAAACAGUGUUUGGCUUAAUUGGUUAGAAUCUCCAAAACAGUACUAUUGUGUGGUCUGAUUCUUAGCAAACAACCCUAUACUUAGGUUCGUCAAUAUAGGGUUUAUCAUUACCCACCAAAACUUGUCAGAAUAAUAACCCAUUUAGUGAGCACUGGUCAAAUGAUUUUACUUUGCUUUUCUUUUUCUGGUUUUUUCUUUCUGAUAUGGAUUCUAAUACUGUGUUAAGGUUCUGGUUAGAUCUUGAUAAACUGAUAAACAUGCAUUUUAUAUGAACAGUUUGCAAUCUUAUUUUUCUUAUUGAGUUUGAUGCUUAGCUGAUAGAAGCAUAAACUGAAUCUUCUUAGUUGUCACUGUUAUAUGGACAUUACUAGCAUAUUACCUUUCUUAUAACAGUGAAAUAUCCACUUGUUGUGAUUGCUUUUUAUCAAUGGUAUUGAAAGAGUGCUGGUAUUUCUCUAUCGUGGCUGUGUUGGACAAGAAGCACAUAUCAAUUUCUUACUGAAAAGGUUUAACAAUCAAACUCUUUAUUCCAGUUGUACGUGCAAUGGUUAGACAAAUUCAGCUUGUUUGGUCCUACAUCUACAUAAAUAUAUAAAAGUAUAGCUAUAACAGCUUUGCAAAAUUAACAGCCUUAAAGAUAUGUUUGGAUAAACUGUCUAUAUAUACCUCUCCAACACACACACAAAAAAAAAACAGCUUCUUCAUAAUCUAUUUGUUAAAAUUAUAACAUGCAUAUAAUUUUAAUUUAGCCAUCUUUCACUUUUUUUCUCCUGUAUGUGAUUAUAGAGAAGUUAUCCAUUCACACCCUUAUUCUCUUCAGAUAAGUUUAGCUUCAUGAUAAUGUUGAAAUCCAUCACUGAUUGGUUUUUGGAUUUCAAGUUUUCAUAUUUUUUGUUUCCAAUUCUUAAAACAAAUAUCAAAGACCAAGUCCUUAUGAUGCUUUAUAGUAGAUUUUUCCUGAGACCAUCCCUGCAAUCCCUGAAAGUAUUUAUUUUACCAAAUUACAGACCGUAAUAGAUUUAGCACAUAUAUAUAUGUAAUUCACAAUGAAUAAUAUUUGGGGCUUUGUCAAGUUUUAUAUUAAGUAUCCGGAAUGAUAUUAAAAAAUAAUGAUAUUCAUUCAGUAAUAUGUAUCUUGUAUUUUUGGAUAUUCAUUUAGCAAUGUUACUGCAGUUUUGAGCAGUGCAUCAAAUUAUCUUAUGAUUUUAAGUUGGUUGAAUUCAUUGGAAAUCGAUCUUGUUGAUACUAAUAGGCUUGGAAGAAUUUUAGAUGCUGGCGAAUGAAUGACACAAUCUCCUGAUUCUGUUAAGAUGCCUAAAAACCACAUAAUCUGUUCUAAUCACUGGUGUGCUUACAGGAAUCUUCUUUGUAAAUGUUUAUAUGAAGGUGAAUAAUUUUCUCCAAUACUGCUACAGAGGUGUUGUGACUGCAUAAUGAGUAAAGUUUUGCAUAACUUAUAACUAUGUCUUCAAGAGCAGUUAUUCUUUGAGGUACUGACUCAAACGAAUGUUAGAAGGCCAUAUUAUAUCAAUGGAAAGAAAAUUAAAGGGUAUACUUGCUUUAUGCAAGACACUUUUUUUUUUAACUUUGAUAUAAAAUAACUUCCAAACUGUAGUUUGAUCUUUUAA
Long non-coding RNA from Vigna angularis (adzuki bean), 3170 nucleotides. RefSeq lists it as uncharacterized. NCBI's taxonomy places the organism in Eukaryota, Viridiplantae, Streptophyta, Magnoliopsida, Fabales, Fabaceae. The record is from RefSeq and is a predicted model, not a curated record. The transcript has 2 exons.